AGAUAAGGAACCUGAAGUUCGAAAAGCUUGCUCCAAGUGCACCCAGCAUCUAAGCCUUGAACCGGCUUGUAAGCCUUUCACCCCAGAAGCCACAUUCCCCACCGCACCAAGAAAAGGAUGCAAUUCCAGUUAAUCUGACCCACAAACACUCAGGGCAACGGUGACCUUGACCCUGAUGACCUGGAGUCCUGGGAUUGCUGACUGCUCUGCGGCUGUGCACCACCCUUCUGGGCCAGAAAGCAUCUGUUUGUUUAGUGCCCUGAAAAACAGACCUCCCCUCUCCUUCCUGCAAGCUAAGCAAGAAUGUUCUCCCUCUCACGAGCAGCAAGGACUGAGGUCAGCAUCUGGAGAUCCUGA
Lontra canadensis (Northern American river otter) is the source of this 357-nucleotide long non-coding RNA. RefSeq lists it as uncharacterized. The transcript is spliced from 3 exons. The record is from RefSeq and is a predicted model, not a curated record. NCBI's taxonomy places the organism in Eukaryota, Metazoa, Chordata, Mammalia, Carnivora, Mustelidae.